GGGCAGUACUGGCAUUCUUGGAUCCCACAUUGCACAUAGAUAUGUAAGAAGAUACAGAGAAGUCAUGUUAAUGCAGCAUAAUGGAUGCUAUAAAGAUCAGUCAUGGCAAGCUCCAAGUAUUUUCCUCUGACACAUGACACAGCAUAAAACCAGAGAGGAAAGGGUUACAGAGCAGAGAGUACUGAUUGGCUGACUGCACAGGCUUGCUCCUGUGAGGAAGACAGACUGACACGCCCCCUCCAGCCUGCACAAUGAAAAAGGCUGGUGGGUGAAGCCUAAUGUCUAUGGCAGUGUACGGCGUCCAUUUUAGGACAUCGUCAGUCGUCAGCCAUAACUCCGUCCCACGCUGUCCUCCAUCGGACCAAUCGCUGUCAGUCGUCAUCCGCAACUCCAUUCCCCGUCAGGUGAAACAGCAUUCCGCCUCCUGCCUCACACCAAUCACCGUCAUCCUUCAGCCACAACUCCCUCCUCCCUCAUCUGAAACUCCCUCUUCCAAAACGCCAUCAUGCCUCAGACGAUUCUCCCUCAGACACAAUUUCCUGCCGCAUAGUAGAGUUUUUAACUGUGUGAUAUAUACACUGUUUGUUAUGUGACCUAA
Long non-coding RNA from Hyla sarda, 598 nucleotides. RefSeq lists it as uncharacterized. The record is from RefSeq and is a predicted model, not a curated record. NCBI's taxonomy places the organism in Eukaryota, Metazoa, Chordata, Amphibia, Anura, Hylidae. The transcript has 3 exons.